CCUACGGGUGGCAGCAGUGAGGAAUAUUGGUCAAUGGGCGAGAGCCUGAACCAGCCAAGUCGCGUGAAGGAUGACGGCCCUACGGGUUGUAAACUUCUUUUGUCAGGGAGCAAUUGAGUCCACGUGUGGGCUUAGCGAGAGUACCUGAAGAAAAAGCAUCGGCUAACUCCGUGCCAGCAGCCGCGGUAAUACGUAGGGGGCAAGCGUUAUCCGGAUUUACUGGGUGUAAAGGGGGCGUAGACGGCAGCGCAAGUCUGGAAUGAAAUUCCAUGGCUUAACCAUGGAACUGCUUUGGAAACUGGGCACCUGGAGUGCAGGAGAGGUAAGCGGAAUUCGUAGUGUAGCGGUGAAAUGCGUAGAUAUUAGGAAGAACACCAGUGGCGAAGGCAGCUUACUGGACUGUAACUGACGUUGAGGCUCGAAAGCGUGGGGAGCAAACAGGAUUAGAUACCCUGGUAGUC
RNAcentral lists this ribosomal RNA (461 nucleotides) under uncultured bacterium. RNAcentral describes it as "partial 16S ribosomal RNA". It matches the Rfam family "Bacterial small subunit ribosomal RNA", at positions 338 to 795 of the family's 1533-position model. The record is from RNAcentral.